RNAcentral lists this ribosomal RNA (505 nucleotides) under uncultured bacterium. Its description in RNAcentral is "partial 16S ribosomal RNA". It matches the Rfam family "Bacterial small subunit ribosomal RNA", at positions 28 to 507 of the family's 1533-position model. The record is from RNAcentral.
GACGAACGCUGGCGGCGUGCCUAAUACAUGCAAGUAGAACGCACAGUUUAUACCGUAGCUUGCUACACCAUAAACUGUGAGUUGCGAACGGGUGAGUAACGCGUAGGUAACCUGCCUGGUAGCGGGGGAUAACUAUUGGAAACGAUAGCUAAUACCGCAUAAUAUUGAUUAUUGCAUGAUAAUUGAUUGAAAGAUGCUAUUGCAUCACUACCAGAUGGACCUGCGUUGUAUUAGCUAGUAGGUGAGGUAACGGCUCACCUAGGCGACGAUACAUAGCCGACCUGAGAGGGUGAUCGGCCACACUGGGACUGAGACACGGCCCAGACGCCUACGGGAGGCAGCAGUAGGGAAUCUUCGGCAAUGGACGAAAGUCUGACCGAGCAACGCCGCGUGAGUGAAGAAGGUUUUCGGAUCGUAAAGCUCUGUUGUAAGAGAAGAACGGGUGUGAGAGUGGAAAGUUCACACUGUGACGGUAGCUUACCAGAAAGGGACGGCUAACUACGUG